Cataglyphis hispanica is the source of this 4957-nucleotide RNA transcript. RefSeq lists it as uncharacterized. The record is from RefSeq and is a predicted model, not a curated record. The transcript has 17 exons. Lineage: Eukaryota; Metazoa; Arthropoda; Insecta; Hymenoptera; Formicidae.
GGAAGAUAAUAUCGAUGCAAAAGCGAAUCAAAUAAAGUAUCAUUGAUCGUCGACGAAAGAAUAAACAUGGGAAUUUUUAUUAAAUAGUACGACAUAUUUAUCUACGCGACAAAAACGAUUUCGAUAAUAUUCUUAUUUCUUCAUUAAACUCUGUGGAGCUACGCUCAAAAAGAGGCCCAAAUGAAUUCUUCGGUUAUAAAAACUUGGUUGCAACGUGGCGAACUUGAGAAACUCGAAAAUAUCGUGUUGGAGGGUCGAGGCGCGCGUUUAUUAAGCGCACAUUCACCGGAUCUUAGGACUCGUGUCUUCCUGAAGGGACUCCCGAAUUAUUUGACGAAAAUCUCUCAAGUGCACGAUGCCGUUGCGCGCGGCUCGUUAGCUGAAACGCAGAAAAUCAUAUCUGAAGAAUCGAAGAAGAAGCUAGCGAUCGCCAAGGAUUCUUGCGGCACGCCCUUGAUACACAAAGCGGUAUAUUACGAUCAACCCGACAUUGUCGCCUGGCUCGUAGAAAAUUAUCCUAUUACGCCGCAGCAGAGAGAUAAAGAGGGAAAAACAGCUUUACAUUAUUGCGGCAAGUGUAAAGAUCCCGAUUCGAUCUGGGAUCUUCUUAUAGAAAGUGGAUGCGACGCUAGCAUUUGCGACAAGAAAGGAAAGCCGGCCGCUUAUUACUUGAAACAUCCCACGGAAAUUGAAUUACCCGAAGUGGAAGUGAUGCCGCGAAGAAAAAGCACCGGGAAGGAUUCUCUGGAUUUUAAGCCUUCCAAUAUCAGGAUAUGGAUACACAACAAAGACAUCGGAAAGUUGCAGCAAAUUCUGUGGGAGGGACAUGGGUCCAAACUUCGAUGCGAAACCAGCAAUAAUCCUCGGAUAAGAAAAUUCUUAGAGGCCACACCCUUCAUCAUGGCCACAAUAAAAGAAAUCCAUACAGCAGUCGUUAAUAAUGACUUGGAAGGUUUCAAACAGAAAUUGGAAGGUAUUUCGCCUAUUGUUUUGUGCGGCAAGGACAGCAACGGUUUAAAUGUCUUACAUAAGGCCGCUGGUUUAGGAUAUACGGAUAUUGCGCGUGAAAUCCUCGAAAGGUAUCCCGAAACGGUAACAGCUCAAGAUAACGAAGGAAAGACACCUUUGCAUUAUGCAGCUGCACUUAAAGACGAUGGCGCCAUGUACGAUCUUCUAACGGAACACGGAGCUGACGAAAGUAAAUUAGAUAACAGGCAAAAGGCGCCUGCAUUCUACAAGAAUCGCCCUUCGGACGUGGAUCUGUCAAAUUUGUCGAUGAUACCGGACGCACCUCGCGUCUCCGCUACUUAUCCGAAAAAUUGGGAUUGGAAAAUUUUGGAGUUAGGUCAAGCCGCUAUGCGAGGAAUGAAAAAGGUAGUAAGCAGCAAUGACGUUGACAGCGCUUUCGGUAGCGCUGAGUCUACGACGAAGGAUGAUUCGAAUGAGAAGAGAGGGGGGAGUCCCAAUUCGCAAUUUCAGGUCUACGAUAUGAAGGAUUAUAUGGGAGAUUUGGUGGAACAGAUUAAGAGGGCCGAUGAGGAGCAACAGGAGGAGGAGGAGGAGGAGGAGGAGGCUGAGACCCCGAAUGGAGACGAGGAGGAAGCACAGAAAGAGAAUGAGAAUGAAACAAAUAAUGAGGAGGAGGCUGAAACCCCGAAUGGAGACGAGGAGGAAGCGGCACAGAAAGAGAAUGAGAAUGAAACAAAUAAUGAGGAGGAAGCGGCGAAUGAGAAUGCGGAGGAAACGAACGAAGAGGAGCAGCAGAAUACGGCGGAGGAGGAAACAAAAGAAGAUGAGGACAAGACAUCCUCAGACGAUGACGUGGUAACCGGGGCUGUCGCGGAACCGACGAAAGACGAGGAGGACGGGCCCGAGGCUGCCGUUAAUGAGGACGCGGUCGACGAGGAAUCCCCGAAGAUCGAAGAAAUCGCCGCCGGCGAAGAAACUGCCGUUGAGAAUGAAGAUAGAAAUGAGCCCAGCACCGGCGAUUCUGGCGUUGACGAAGAGCAGCAGGUUAUUGUUGGUGAACACGAGGAACCUGCCGAAGUAGAGUUGAAGGAAGGUAGCAUGGCCCAUGAUCUGGAAGUGGAGAAUCUACUGGAGAACGGCAACAUGGAACAAUUAGCAGCUCUGGUCCUCAAUGGCGAAGGCCGACGAUUGCUUGGACGGCAGUCCGGAAAUCCGGAACUCCAGGCAUUCAUCGACAAUGUUCCAGCUUACAUGGGAAAAAUUCAUGCCGUACACAUGGCAGCGCGAGAGGGAAAUCUUCGUGAUCUGCAAAACGCCCUGGAUCGGCGUAAAUUCGCGGUGGCACGAGACGAAUCGUCACCCCACGGUGCAACGCCAUUGCACGUUGCAGUUGUAUUUGGCAAUACUGCUAUCAUUAGGUACCUGGCAGGAAGGUUUCCAGAAACCGCCAACGCAAUCGAUCUCGACGGACGUACUCCGUUGCAUUACGCCGCAACCCUUGCCGAUAACGGCCAUUACUACAACCUCUUGCUGCAUCUGGGCGCCAACCCUUUAAUACAAGACAAUUUCGGACAAAAAGCGGAUUAUUACAAACAAAAUCAAAGCGAUCUAUCACACAAACAGCUUCUUCGCGAUUUCGGGGCUAGCGAGAAGCUCGCCGACGAGAUGUUGACAGAUAAAGACAAGCGCAAUCAAGUCAUCUCUGAAAUACCGCUUCCCGAAGGUGAUAUCUACUCAGCCCGACGUGAUGUGAGCGAGCCCGAGAUCCUGACCACCCUGGAGCGAUGCUUCCGAUUGUUGGCGGGCAAUCGGCGAUCGUCGAUACCAAAGACACCAUCGAACGCCGGUACACUAGUCGCUCGUUGCUUGAAACAGCCCGUAUUCGAUUUGAUCAAACACCGUGUGACUCGCAUGGACCACAAUCUUUUUGACGUGAUCUGGCCCGCUCUGAAAAGGUACGGUACCGUCACGGGUAACGGUAGCAAGACGAGCAGCGCCCGCUCGAGUCUCAGCAACUCCACGGACGAGGAUCAGGGUUACGGCGUAGUGGCGCCCGAUUUCGAGAGCUACGUCGUCUUCACGGAAUUCUUCGAUCCCUUCAUCCGGGAGUUGCACUGCGUCACAGCGAGCGGCGAAUUACUCGAUCAUCCAUUGCCGCAUUUUUUUCACGUUGGGAACGAGGAGGGCGAGGAGAUGCUGCCGGAUGAAACGAUCGUCACCGCGAUUGCGCAAUACGAUCUAGAUCCCACCUGUAAAUUUAUCCAAGCCGGUGUUUUAGAGUGCACCCGAAACCUGGCCAACUAUAGUCUGCCAUUGACACUAACAGUCAAUCAACUGGAGGAGGUCGAGAGGGAGAUCACUACUGAGCUGAUGAGCCCGGAGAUCACCGAUCUGAUGGCGGAGGGCAGUAGCGAGGACGAGGCCGGUACAUAUUUUACUCUCAACGAGAUCCUCGAUCAGCCUAGCCGAAUACGAGCACAAUUGGCAGCGGCCGGUCUAUUGUUACCGAUCACGGAGUACGACCUAAACGACGACCGACGUCUUCAUGGCAAGCAUUGGCCCUACGGACGUGGCGUAUACGUUACAACAGCCGGUGAUCUCGCCGCGUGGGUGAACGUCCAGGAUCAUCUGAGGAUCGUUUGUCGCACAAGCGAGAAUCGGCCUGGCUUGGUAGGCCGCGCUUACGUCAGAGUAGCUAAACUAAUGAUGAUAUUCGACCGGAGACUUAAAUUCAAGCGAGAUCAGAAGCUUGGUUUCUUGACCGCGCGCCCGCACGCUCUCGGCAACACUCUUAGAUUCUGCUUGAUCGUCCGGCUUCCGGAACUCUCAAAGACGCCAGACAAUCUGCGGCACCUGUGCGUAGUGCGCGGUCUAAGCGUACGCGAUACUAUAAAGAGAGAUAUGGUGAGGAUCAGCAAUCAACAAUCGCUCUCAAUCACCGAGCUGCAGACCCUCCAAGACUUCUCCAGAGCGGUGCACAAUAUCAUCACGCUGGAAAAGGACUUGUCGUUGAAUAACUCGAUGAAGCUCGCCAACCUCAUUACUGGCAUAUUCCGCAAGCGAGCAAACGCGUCUAGAAAUCUCAAGGCAUAAACAAAUUAAUAACAUUAACGAUUACGAAAGACAAUAAAACAUUAGAUUCUAAAUUCUUGAAGACGAUAUUAGCCAUCUUCUUUCCACACUUUACAAACGAAAACUCGAGAAGAAAAUAAUAUAAAAUAAUAAAAAAAUAAAAUAAAAAGAAAUAAGAGAAUAAAAUGAGAAUUAUAUAAAAAAUGAUGAUUGCGCACUUUAUGUGUGCGUGAAAUACGGAAUGUAUUUUAAAUGACUCAAAAAAUCAUCGAUCUAUUUUGGAAAAUUUUAUAUGGAAGAACUUUAUUCGGAGAAAUAUUUAAAGGAAGCAAAAUAAUUAAUUCACCAUUUACCGAAGAUUUUUAUUUUACACAACAACUUGAAUUCAAAUACUCGUAUUUAACACAACAAUGAUUUCUCUUGUCGAUUGUCUUCAAGAACCUCAUCCUCCUACGUUCUAUCUUUUCUCUUAAGUCUUUCUAUAAGUAACAUUUACGCUUAUUCAUGGAAAUUUUCUGUGAUAAUUAUCAGCCAACAUUUGACAGUCAAUUACUCUUCAUAGACUGAACUUUUUAGAUAACUUAGGCUAUAAUGAGCGAGAGGGAGAGAGAGAAAGAGAAAGAGAGAAGUGCGUUGGAAAGAUAUGUGAAUGUUAUUUUGUUUUCUCUCGUGCAUACCCAGCAUCUCUCUUAUGAAAUUACAUUAAAUCAUAAUUGUAGUCGCUCUAUUAACCGGAUUAAUCGGCGACGAGAAUAAAGGAUUGCUGAUUAGACGAUAAUGAAGCCGAAAUACCGAUAUUUCGGACGGAAGAAGGCCGUUAUUUAGCAUCAUCAUUGGGUGAUCCCUUAAUUAAAGGAUUAACGGAAGUUGCUAACGCGCGUCCAAAGGAUCCGGUCACAUAUCUCGCGACAUACUU